ACAUCACGUUUCUCCCACGGGGCCGGGAAGUGUCACAGGGCCUCGAUGGGGGAUGAAGGCUGCCUUAGGUCUAAAACGAGGUCGUGCUCUACUUUGGGAAGUGGAAGGCGGGGGGGGGGGGGGGGGGGGGGGGGGCACAGUAUCCGACACCCCGAGCGCGGAGGAAGCGCGUGCACCGGGCCGGCUGCAGGCUGAGCCCUGGAUCUGGGCCGUGGGGGCAGCCAGGGCGGCGGUCCCGGCCAGCCCCGAAGGCCACCCACACUGCUGGGCUUUUACCUUGGAGGAUGUGGGACAGAGCGGUCUGGACUCCGACCACCGCGGCAGACAGGCCCUGACCCCGGGAGCAGGCCAGGUGGAGGCGGACGCCACAGAGGACGGUGUGUUGGGGCCCUGGGGGGGGAGCAGCGAGGGGCCGGGCCGCCCUCGCCAGCCCAGCUCAGGCGCAGGCCACCCCAGGCCUCCUCCCCGGCCUCCCUUCCCGCAGCACCCCUCCUCCUGCAGGUCUCCUGACCCGAGACAAGAUCCCCCUGCACCGAUGCAAAGCGCGGCCCUGACCAGACCUCGAGCAGGGACAGGAGGGAAGGAAAGGCCACCAGAAGUGACCCCGAGGACUCCUCAGCGGCCAGCGGGAAGGGUGAUAAUGCGGACGGCGGGGUGCUGA
Molecule: long non-coding RNA, 661 nt
Filed under: Canis lupus familiaris (dog)
Lineage: Eukaryota; Metazoa; Chordata; Mammalia; Carnivora; Canidae
Description: lncRNA (ENSCAFG00030006001.1)
Source: RNAcentral